This 253-nucleotide ribosomal RNA is filed under the name uncultured bacterium. Its description in RNAcentral is "partial 16S ribosomal RNA". It matches the Rfam family "Bacterial small subunit ribosomal RNA", at positions 524 to 776 of the family's 1533-position model. The record is from RNAcentral.
UACGUAGGGAGCGAGCGUUGUCCGGAUUUACUGGGUGUAAAGGGUGCGUAGGCGGCUAUGCAAGUCAGUAGUGAAAUCCAUGGGCUUAACCCAUGAACUGCUAUUGAAACUGCACAGCUUGAGUGAAGUAGAGGUAGGCGGAAUUCCCGGUGUAGCGGUGAAAUGCGUAGAGAUCGGGGGGAACACCAGUGGCGAAGGCGGCCUACUGGGCUUUAACUGACGCUGAGGCACGAAAGCGUGGGUAGCAAACAGG